Mercenaria mercenaria is the source of this 5860-nucleotide long non-coding RNA. RefSeq lists it as uncharacterized. The transcript has 3 exons. The record is from RefSeq and is a predicted model, not a curated record. Lineage: Eukaryota; Metazoa; Mollusca; Bivalvia; Venerida; Veneridae.
GACGUCUAAAAGUACGAUACAUUAGUUAUCUGGAAUGUGGACAAUACUUGUACAUUAUAGUUACAAAUGCAGCAACAGGACUUUAGCUAUGUAACGAUAACAUCUCCAAGCACAACCAAAUUACUAUUGAACUUUGGUUCAACUUUUAUAUGAUUACUCCAUGCGAACAUAUGUUAUAACGACACGUUAUAACACCAUAUUGGUUUAUCUACAUAUUAUUCCUAAGGCAAUGAGUAUCGUAAACCCCUGUGACGGAUAUAUCAGGCGGAUAUAUGGCAGGGUAGACAGAAUGUAAGCCCUUAGUCCUUGGUCAAGUUCGAGAUCCAACUAGUCACUACUUCCAGGCCACUUCAACUACUUACCACUACCAAGAAGACCGAUGGACACAGAUGAAGAAAAAUAAAUCGCGUGGAUUAUUUUGUAAAAUAAGAAAAAAAAAAAAAAAAAAUAACUCGCGUGGAUUGUAUUUUUAUUUAAAUACUCUCUCAUUUUUUGUUGUUAGGUUACCUUAAUAUUUUUAUUAGCUAAGUUAAUCAAGCAUAUUUCAGAACUGAUGAUUAACCCCCGGCAAAACUUUGUCGAAAUAUUAUCGUCAAAUAUUCGCAUAUCGCUUACUUGUAAUUUUGCCCUAUGUGCACUCAGCAUAAAAUUUAUAGUAGUCAAAUACUUAUUUAAUGGUUUAAGGCGUUUGCUUACCGUUUAAUUAUUUUUGUUGCUCCUACUCUAGCAUUUAGAUUUUUGAUCAGAUUUUUGAUUGCUGUUUUGCAUUUAAGUUAAAAGCAUUAAAUCAAUUAAAUAUGAUUUAAUCCUUUUUCCUAGAAAGGGGCGAAUGUUAUACUUUAACGUUUACCCAGGUCAUUAUGAUAUCUAGCAUUCCAUCUUUCAUGUAUAUUCGUAUAUUUCAGUUUAUACAUGAAAUACCUUAACCGGUCACACAGGUAUACGCGUGACAUGUAGUUGACCCGAUCAAAUGGGCAUUGGUCAAACAUAUAUUUAGAAAGAAGUUAAUAAUAACUAUGUCCUCAUGUCUAGACAGUCAAAGGUCACAUAAUUGUUAUAAAACCCAUAGACCACGGUACUGUGGCGCGCACUGUUAGAUAGAUACUUGUAGAGUAUACACAUUAUUUUCCCAGCCACCAAUUCUGCGUCAGGGUGUGCUGUAUUGAAAGACAUUUUGGGACUAUUUUACUAUUAACUGUUUCAUCUAGUUUGACUUGUAUAUACGUUAAUACAGAGAGAGGCUCGCGUGUGAUUAUUUCUGCAUAUUCUAGUUAACAAUUAAUACAUUAUAUAAAGCUGACAGUGUGUUUGUUUAUUUUCCAUCUCUUCUCGUUUCACAUACAUAUGAGCUCUUGAUUACCCACCAAAGACACAACGCGAAGGAACAAUAUUCUAUACGAUCACGUAACACCAGCCGUAGGGUAACAUUUGUUAAAGACUGAAUCGGUGUGAAUGUAAACAAUGACUGGCACUGUAAAAGGAUUAAUUUUGAAACAAAAGCUUUUCAGUGGAGGGGAUUUUGAUCAAGGGGAUUUUGAUAUACACUCGAAUAUUUUGCCAAAAAAAAAUACUUCUGGUAUAUAUUAAGAAUUCCUUAGAUGUCACAGUCUUUUCAAUAUUUUACACAUUGAUUAGCAGCCACCAUCAGCGCUUUGAGCGCUUUGAUUUCAUAUUGUACUAGAUCACAGUAAAAUGUUUUAAGAGCUUUUAAAUGAAAAUUUCUUUCGAAGAAUUUUUUAGGAUUCUUUUUGAAUGCACAUCUUAACAUAUUUUUUUGCAGAAUUGAAUUCGGGCGUGGGAUGAGGGGCAUGGGAUGGGAAAGGGUGGAUGCACACAUUUUUAAGGUACAUGUAAGCUGUAAAACUGUUUUAAAUAUAUACUGCAAUCCAUUAGGACUUUUACUUUUAAUUCUUAAAAGCAGGCAAGUUUUAAAUGAACUCUUUUUAUAUUUUCGGUGGGUGGGGUUGGUCUUGGGAAUAUUUUAACAAUAUGGAAUGCCUUUUUAGUCGACAAUCAUCAGAUGGUGGGCUAUUCAAAUCACUCUGCGUCCAUGGUCCGUCCAUCUGUUAACAAUUUAUCGUUAUUGCAUCUCCUCAGAAACUUCUGAGGCCAUUUUGACCAAACUUUGUCAGAAUGAUGUAUUGGUACCCUAGUUGUGUCUCCCUGAAAAUCAGACUGGUUCAACACUUUUUGAGUGAGUUAUGGCCAUUUGUUUAUUUUUAUAAUUUACAAAGAUUUAUAUAGGAAAAAACUUUGAAACUUUUCUUGUCCAAAGCAACAGAGCCUAGGGCUUUGAUAUUUGGUAUGUAGCAUCAUCUAGUGGUCCUCUACCAAGAUGAUUCAAAUUAUUUCCCUGGGGUCAAAUGUGGCCCUGCCCCGGGGGUCACAUGGUUUAUAUAGGGAAAAACUUUGAAAAAACUCUUGUCCAAAACUACAGGGCCUAGGGCUUUGAUAUAUUAUAUGUAACAUCAUCUAGUGGUCUUCUCUUAAGAUUGUUCAAAUUAUUCCUCUAGGGUCAAAUAUGGCCCCGCCCUGGGGGUCACAUGAUUUACAUAAACAUAUAGGGAAAAACUUUGAAAAUCUUCUUGUCCAAAACACAAAGCCUAGGGCUUUGAUAUUUGUAGUGUAGCAUCAUCUAAUGGUUCUCUACCAAGUUUGUUCAAAUUAUCCCCCUAGGAUCAAAUAUGGCCCCGCCCCGGGGGUCACAUGGUUCCUAUAGACUUACAUAUGGAAAAGCUUUUAAAAUCUUCUUGUCAAUAACCUACAACAUUUAAAUUUGGACCACAUGUAUAGUUUUGAGUGGCAAGAUGAACCUUGACAUGAGUUGACCUUGAUUUUGACCUAGUGACCUCUUUCACAUUUCUCAAGCUACAGCCUUCAAAUUUGGACCAAAUGCAUAGUGUAGUGCACCGAAAAAAACUUUAACCUUGACAUUGACCUAGUUUUGUGUUCCCAAAUGAAAUUUGACCUAGUGACCUACUUUUACUUUUCUCAAGCGACAGCCUUCAAAUUUGGACCACAUGCAUAGCUUUGUGUACCGAAAUGAACUUUGAUCUUGAGAUUGACCUAGUGACCUACUUUUACAUUUCUGAAGCUACAGGCUUCAAAUUUGGACCACAUGCAUAUUUUUGUGUUCUUAAUUGAAAUUUGACAUUGAUUUUUACGUAGUACCUACUUUCACAUUUCUCAAGCUACAGCCUCCAGAUUUUAAGCACAUACAUAGUUUUGUAUACCGAAAUGAACUUUGAUCUUGGAAUUGAUCUACUGACCUACUUUCAUAUUUCUCAAGCUACAGCUUUCAAAUUUGGACCACAUGCAUGGACCACAUGCACAGUGUUGUGUACCGAAAUGAAAUUUGACCUUGAUUUUGACCUUGAGCUAGUCUUGAAAUUUGGACAUUCAAAAAUGGUUCAAUGGUGGGCGCCAAGAUCACUCUGUGAUCUCUUGUUUAAGCUAGAACCUUUGGAACUGCAGAUUACCUUGUUGGCAGUAAAACAAAUUUCGCACUUUAUUGUUGAUAUUUUAACUGUUACCAUGGGAAUCUACACUGCUGAUAUUUUUUUUUUGUUUUCUUGUUUAUUUACAUUCUGUACAUAUACAUUAUUUUCUAAAAGUAAUCCAGCACUAGCAGUUAAUGUUAAAGCCAUUUAAUGAUUAAAUUAUUUUUAUGUUCAAUAGUUACCUUCAUGAAUUUUAUGGCUUACUUAGAGAUAGCAUACAUGCUUGAUGAAAAGAAAAAUAUUUCAUAAAACUGAUACAUUGUAUUCAUAUAUAAUUUCUGUCAAACUUAAUUUGGGUGAUUUUGAUAUGAGGAAAUUACAGUGAGUAAAUUAAUUCUUGAAUCCAAGAUUACCAAGAUUAUGUAGACAAUUUUAUCAAGGUGCUUUAAUUAAAGGAAGAUCAUGCAUUUCAUACUGAAGAAACUUUAUUAGUUUUAUUGAUAAAACAAUAGCUCCAUUUACAGUUAGCACUCAAAAUAUAUAUUCUCUUACAUGUAUGAUUUAACAAAUAAUCAAGGCCUUCACGUGUUUUAUCAUCUGAAUUACCAUGGUUCAGAGUUCAGAUGUGUAGGAAUUGAACCACGAGGGCGUUAGCCCAAGUGGUUAAAUACUGAAGCAUCCGAACGAUGAACCGUGGUAAAUUAGACGAUAAAUCACAAGAAGGCCUUGAUUGUUUUCAUUUUGACAUGCUCAUUGAUAUACUUUAAUAAGUAUUACGCUGGACUUCAUUUACCCGAGGAGUAAUGUAUCGGAUGUCAUGCGGCAAUUUGACGUCAUAAUUGACGUCAUAAUGCUCUCUUACCGGUCUGCACGUCAACCAUUGUUUAUCACAGAAUAUACAGAGCUUGAUUUCCUUUUUUGUUUAACUGGAAAUCAAACCCAGUCAUGUUAGAAUGUGUUUUUAAAUACAAAUACAUGGCAUUUAUAUAGCGCAAAAAAUUAUUAAAUAUUCUAUUGCACUUUACAAUUGCACAACACACAUUUAAAAUAUAUACAUACAAAAUAUGAACAGGAUUCUAGAACUUAGAUUUAGAGAUUUGGACAUGUAUAAAUACUAUUUUACACCACUUCUGAUAUUUUGUAUUUUAACAAGACUACACUCAUUGUUCAUGAAACUGCCUAAAUAAAUGUGUUUUCAGUUUUGAUUUAAAGCUGGCUUCAGACUGAAUGUUUUUCAGAUAGCUAGGCAGAUCGUUCUACAAUUUGGGACCAACGACUGCUAAUUUUGUUCGCCAUCUGGGGAUGUUAAAGUUAGUGUCACUUUGUGAGUGAAGUCUGUAUCGUUGUCGAGUAUGUGCUUGUACCAGGGAAAGACCUACAAGACUGCAGACAAUUGGGAAGAUGGAUGUACAUACACGUGUAUCUGUGUGGAAGGUAUGUCCGGACAGUACAAAUAUACUGAGAGAUUUAGACAAUUUUCUGUUGUCUUUACAGAGCGAUAGAAUGUGAGAGUUCGUUGUGGUUCAGACUUUUGCUCAAGACAUUAUUUCAGAGAAUUUACUUUUCUUGGAACCACACGGUGUGAGAGAAACAUCGACGGCACGGGACAUUAUGUUUAGUGAUUUUUAUACGCACGUCUGGCAUGUUCCGGAUGACUCGCUUUAAGGUCAAGGUCACACUUAAGGGUCAAAGGUCAUAUAUGACUUUGCUUUGUGUAUAUUGCUCUGCAUUGCAGUGCACUUAUUUUUAUUUGGCAGAUCUCUUUUUUUGUACUUACAAUAAUUUUUUUUUGAAUUACUUCCCUUUUAUGUUACUAUAAAUAGCUUAUUUUGAAACUUUUUUAUUAUUGGCCGUAGGGAAAAACCGAGACCACUUUUCUGUGGUACAACAUGGAUGGUACCUCCAAAUUUAAGGUGUAUUUUUACAUAACUGUUCCUGAUAAAGAUUUUUUUGUAGACUUUGAAUUUUUUUUUGUGGACUUAGAUUUGUUUUUUUUUAAAGUUUUCCUUUUGUUGUUCCAGUCCUUUGGGGCUUCAACAGUCAAGUUCUUAAAAUUUUGCUCCUAUCCUAUGAUGUAAGCCUUUGGGCGUAUAUUGCCCCGCUUGGCGGCGCUCUUGUUCUUAUAUAUGUUAAGUGUAGAGACACAACAUCAGUGGUAUAUAGUGAUUUUUUUUCUGGUGUCGUCGACACGUGUGCGUGUAAAUGUAAUUAUUUAUGAGGAUAAUUGACGCAUUAAAGUGAACCUGUUGUUGACCACUCCUAUAUCGUGUUUUGUUGUUUCUUUAAUAUUCCAUUGAAUAUUAUUAAGUAUGUUAGAUGAUAAAUUAUUUAUGUUUGGCUGAACGAAAUGAAAGAAAACAUAAUUUCACAUUUCUCAAGCUACAGCCUUCAAAUUUGAAGCACAUGCAUAGUUUUGUGUA